UACGUAGGGGGCGAGCGUUAUCCGGAAUUACUGGGCGUAAAGAGUACGUAGGUGGCACUGUAAGCGGUAGGUGAAAGCCCGGGGCUUAACUCCGGCGAGCCUAGUGAACUGCAGAGCUUGAGUGCUGGAGGGGAAAGUGGAAUUCCUAGUGUAGCGGUGAAAUGCGUAGAUAUUAGGAGGAACACCGGUGGCGAAGGCGACUUUCUGGACAGUAACUGACACUGAGGUACGAAAGCGUGGGGAGCAAACA
Molecule: ribosomal RNA, 250 nt
Filed under: uncultured prokaryote
Description: partial 16S ribosomal RNA
Rfam family: Bacterial small subunit ribosomal RNA
Source: RNAcentral